RNAcentral lists this long non-coding RNA (2043 nucleotides) under Homo sapiens (human). RNAcentral describes it as "HSALNT0366155". The record is from RNAcentral. Lineage: Eukaryota; Metazoa; Chordata; Mammalia; Primates; Hominidae.
CUCUUCGCCCCCGGCUCGGUCCUGCCCCGCGUCCCUGCAGUUCACAAAGGGUAAGAGGGCGCCAUUGGGGCUCUGUGGGGCGCCCCCGCUGAGGAUGUUGUCGGCCGCGCUCUCCAUCUCCUCUAUGGUCAUGUCGCAGGCGUCGGCCAGCUCCUGGGUGGUGACCUCGAUGAACUUGGGAUCUUGAGCAAACUGCCCCAGUCCUUCUGAAAUCAAGACCUGAAGGAGCGGGGUGGGAGCCAUGAAGAACCAAAGGAACAUUACUCCUGGAGCCCAGCUCUUCCCUUGAGGGCUAGAGCGAGGGGGUAUCUGGUCUCAUCCUGAGACGUCUCCUCCUGACCCGCCAUGGCUGCCUGGCUCUCCCGGGAGUGGCACCUACAAUAUCCAAGAUGAAGAAAAACAUCAGAAACUGCCAACCUUCCUCCACUUCCUUCAGCAAACCUUGCAUGCUGGGCCCACUUUAUCCUCAGACCCCUGAGGGCAUCAGAGAAAGAUCCUGGUCCAUCCUCUCAGAGCCGAGUGCUAAAUCAGUGCCCUGGCUCUGAGCAUCCCAGGCAGGGUAGAAGCAAUUCUCUCUCUCGAGGAGGAGGACUGCAGACUGCCACCCGCCCCGCAGUGGAAGGAAAGAUGAGAGGGGUCGAGAGUGCGCCAUGGCACCACCCACCCUGAAGAUGUCAUCUUCAGAAGCAGCGGACACAGCCUCCUUCAUGGCCUUGUCCAGCUCCUCCUCAGCGGUGAGAUCUCCAGAGAUGGCCCGUCGGAUCUCAGGCCCGAUGUCAUGCAGUGUGCGCAAGCCAGCCUGGAAUCCAAGGGGAGGAUGGUGAGGACCACGCUCCCUUUCCUCCAAGCUCCCCAGCCAGCCACAGCCUCGGGCCAAGACCUGUCCCUCCAGGGCCCUGGCAUCCUCCACCCAGCCAGUCGACCCUCCGGAAGGUUUGUGUGUGUGUGAACUGGGGGCUGGGCUGCCCUCUGAUGGAACAAUCCACUCGCCCAUCCAGGAGGGAUGAAGGCUCAUUAGGACGGGGCACCAGGGGUCAGGGGCUGUCACGGGAGCCUCAGUGAAGUAUUUGAGAGAUCUGGGGGCUAUGACAGCAGGCAGAACCAUGGAGGGCAGUCGGUGGGUGGCAGGUAGGGAAGGGCACAUCACCCCCUUCUCACAGCCAUCUUUGGAAAGGUCUGGAGCUCUCUGAAAGGUUCCCUCUGCAGGGACCUGGCCUCCAGCCUGCUGGGGAGGGACCGGGACCCUGACUGGAGGUCAGAGGCAAUGACCAGGACCUUCCUGGAGUGUGGGCCCGCCCCCAGGCCCUCACCUGCAGAGACAGCGCGUUCCUCUGGGAGGGCUUGCCCACAAGGCCCUGCUCUUUGCGCUUCUUGAACUUCCGGAAGUACUCCUGGAUCAGGAACGUGGCGUAGAACUUGCCAACGGUGACCUCAUCAUCUGAGACGUAUGGAGAGGGGAGAGGGGAGAGAAGCUUGUUUGGCUUGGUACUGGACUUGGGAUGAGAGCUCUUCCUUCUACGUUCCAAGAGAGAAGCUUCUUUGGCUUGGUACUGGACUUGGGAUGACAGCUCUGCUUCUCUGAGGGCCGUCCUGACCAGGGCAAACAGGGUGGCAUUGAACAUGACUGUCCCGUCGCUGUUCAGAGGCAUGUUCAUGGAGACCAGGCGCUGCAGGCGAAGAGAAGCAAAGCUGGUGAUGAUGGCAGGCGGUGCUUAGGGGACCGCAGAACACCGUGGCAGAGUGAUAUGGUUUGGCUCUGUGUCCUCGCCCAAAUCUCAUGUUGAAUUGUAAUCCCCAGAAUUGGAGGUGGGGCCUGAUGGAAGGUGAUUGCAUCAUGGGGUGGAUUUCUCAUAAAUGGUUUGGUACCAUCCCCUUGGUGAGUGAGUACUCAUGAGAUCUGCUUGUUUAAGUAAGUGUGUGGUCCCUCCCCCUUCUCUCUUGCUCCCUGUCUGUCCAUGUGACGUACCUGCCUCCCCUUUGCCUUCCACCAUGAUUGAUUGGAAGCUUCCUGAGGCCUCCCCAGAAGCAGAAUGCUAGUGCCAU